AACGCACAUUGCGCCCCUUGGUAUUCCGAGGGGCAUGCCUGUUCGAGCGUCAUUUCACCACUCAAGCCUGGCUUGGUAUUGGGCGCCGCGGUCAAUCCGCGCGCCUCAAAGUCUCCGGCUGAGCUGUCCGUCUCUAAGCGUUGUGAUUUCAUUAAUCGCUUCGGAGUGCGGGCGGCCGCGGCCGUUAAAUCUUUCAAAGGUUGACCUCGGAUCAGGUAGGGAUACCCGCUGAACUUAA
This 238-nucleotide unclassified non-coding RNA is filed under the name Septoria sp. RNAcentral's name for it is "partial contains 5.8S ribosomal RNA, internal transcribed spacer 2, and large subunit ribosomal RNA". The stretch from base 1 to 52 matches the Rfam family "5.8S ribosomal RNA", at positions 103 to 154 of the family's 154-position model. RNAcentral also lists the same sequence under 2 other names. Lineage: Eukaryota; Fungi; Ascomycota; Dothideomycetes; Mycosphaerellales; Mycosphaerellaceae. The record is from RNAcentral.